RNAcentral lists this ribosomal RNA (633 nucleotides) under uncultured bacterium. RNAcentral describes it as "bacterial SSU rRNA". It matches the Rfam family "Bacterial small subunit ribosomal RNA", at positions 818 to 1450 of the family's 1533-position model. The record is from RNAcentral.
GCCCGUUGGGACUCUUUGAAGUCUUAGUGGCGCAGCUAACGCACUAAGUUGACCGCCUGGGGAGUACGGCCGCAAGGUUAAAACUCAAAUGAAUUGACGGGGGCCCGCACAAGCGGUGGAGCAUGUGGUUUAAUUCGACGCAACGCGAAGAACCUUACCUGGCCUUGACAUGCAGAGAACUUUCCAGAGAUGGAUUGGUGCCUUCGGGAACUCUGACACAGGUGCUGCAUGGCCGUCGUCAGCUCGUGUCGUGAGAUGUUGGGUUAAGUCCCGUAACGAGCGCAACCCCUAUCCCUAGUUGCUAGCAGUUCGGCUGAGAACUCUAGGGAGACUGCCGGUGACAAACCGGAGGAAGGUGGGGAUGACGUCAGGUCAUCAUGGCCCUUACGGCCAGGGCUACACACGUGCUACAAUGGUGCGUACAGAGGGCUGCAAACCCGCGAGGGGGAGCUAAUCUCACAAAACGCAUCGUAGUCCGGAUCGGAGUCUGCAACUCGACUCCGUGAAGUCGGAAUCGCUAGUAAUCGCGAAUCAGAAUGUCGCGGUGAAUACGUUCCCGGGCCUUGUACACACCGCCCGUCACACCAUGGGAGUNGAUUGCACCAGAAGUGGUUAGUCUAACUUCCGGGAGGA